AGCUUUGCGCAGUGGCAGUAUCGUUGCCAAUGAGGUUUAUCCGAGGUGCGAUUAUUGCUAAUAGAAAGGUUUCAGACUUUGUAUUUUAAAAUCUGUUAAUGCAACCAAAGAGCAGUUG
The sequence is a small nuclear RNA, 118 nucleotides long. Its record names the gene U4. It matches the Rfam family "U4 spliceosomal RNA". From Rfam's summary of the family: U4 small nuclear RNA (U4 snRNA) is a component of the major U2-dependent spliceosome. The structure of U4 snRNA from yeast and human has been reported. U4 snRNA presents a k-turn RNA motif in the 5p-SL related to recognition of Snu13 protein. The record is from Ensembl.